GGGGAAUAUUGGACAAUGGGCGCAAGCCUGAUCCAGCAAUGCCGCGUGAGUGAUGAAGGCCUUCGGGUCGUAAAGCUCUUUUACCAGGGAUGAUAAUGACAGUACCUGGAGAAUAAGCUCCGGCUAACUCCGUGCCAGCAGCCGCGGUAAUACGGAGGGAGCUAGCGUUGUUCGGAAUUACUGGGCGUAAAGCGCACGUAGGCGGUUACUCAAGUCAGAGGUGAAAGCCCGGGGCUCAACCCCGGAACUGCCUUUGAAACUAGGUGACUGGAAUCUUGGAGAGGCGAGUGGAAUUCCGAGUGUAGAGGUGAAAUUCGUAGAUAUUCGGAAGAACACCAGUGGCGAAGGCGACUCGCUGGACAAGUAUUGACGCUGAGGUGCGAAAGCGUGGGGAGCAAACAGGA
This 404-nucleotide ribosomal RNA is filed under the name uncultured Novosphingobium sp. RNAcentral's name for it is "bacterial SSU rRNA". It matches the Rfam family "Bacterial small subunit ribosomal RNA", at positions 356 to 777 of the family's 1533-position model. Lineage: Bacteria; Pseudomonadati; Pseudomonadota; Alphaproteobacteria; Sphingomonadales; Sphingomonadaceae. The record is from RNAcentral.